This 484-nucleotide long non-coding RNA is filed under the name Pan troglodytes (chimpanzee). RNAcentral's name for it is "long non-coding RNA NONPTRT008050". The record is from RNAcentral. Lineage: Eukaryota; Metazoa; Chordata; Mammalia; Primates; Hominidae.
GAGAAAAGCACAGGCGGAGAAAAGACGAUUUUUCUUACAGGGCUAAAAUGCAGGGGACUUCCUUAUCCUGCCGACUCAGGGAAGCCCGGCCCCUUGUGAUCCAUUGCUGAAAGCCACCUCAUGUUUGAAAAACGGAUCCGCUCCCAACUUCAGUGGAAGGACACGACAUGUAGCACGAGGAAAGAUUGUGGCAUAUUACUGAACUAAGCAACCUAGUGACGUGUCUCUUCUGACUGGGGCUUGCCCACAGAGACAACUGUGACAUAGCACUGAGCCCAGGACCCAGGUGAUGUGACUCUGCUGCCUGUUUCCAACAUUCAUGAGAGGAUGGCAACUAUCCCUUGCCAAGAACUCAGGUGAUUUGACUCUCCUGCCUUGUCCCUGCCCUCAGAGAAGAUUGUGAUAUAUCUUCAGCCCCAAACCCAGGUAAUGUGACUUCCCUGCUUACUCCCUAUUCAGAGGAGAAAUUAUUACAUAUAACCUG